Molecule: long non-coding RNA, 201 nt
Filed under: Mytilus galloprovincialis (Mediterranean mussel)
Lineage: Eukaryota; Metazoa; Mollusca; Bivalvia; Mytilida; Mytilidae
Source: RNAcentral
UGCAGAUUUUCUAUUUUGCAGGUAAUGAAAAAUGUUUAAAGGAAAAACAUAUGACACAAAUUAAAACGUAAAUAAUGUAUUCUGAUAUACUAAUUUCUGGUAAAUAUCUAAAGGACAUUUAGGUUUAUAUUUUUUUUUUCGAUUUUAGAAUAAACGGGGCCACGAAGCAAGACUAACAGGUUAAUUGUCAGAUAUGCUUCU